GAGGGUAUAGCUCAGUGGUAGAGUUCAUGCUUAGCAUGCAUGAGGUCCUGGGUUCAAUCCCCAGAACCUUCA
This 72-nucleotide transfer RNA is filed under the name Camelus bactrianus (Bactrian camel). It matches the Rfam family "tRNA". Rfam says of the family: Transfer RNA (tRNA) molecules are approximately 80 nucleotides in length. Their secondary structure includes four short double-helical elements and three loops (D, anti-codon, and T loops). Further hydrogen bonds mediate the characteristic L-shaped molecular structure. tRNAs have two regions of fundamental functional importance: the anti-codon, which is responsible for specific mRNA codon recognition, and the 3' end, to which the tRNAs corresponding amino acid is attached (by aminoacyl-tRNA synthetases). tRNAs cope with the degeneracy of the genetic code in two manners: having more than one tRNA (with a specific anti-codon) for a particular amino acid; and 'wobble' base-pairing, i.e. permitting non-standard base-pairing at the 3rd anti-codon position. The record is from Rfam by way of RNAcentral. RNAcentral also lists the same sequence under 2 other names. Lineage: Eukaryota; Metazoa; Chordata; Mammalia; Artiodactyla; Camelidae.